AUCCGGCUGACGAGUUCAAAAUAGGAGGAAAUGCGUGUUAUCCUGGAU
RNAcentral lists this non-coding RNA (48 nucleotides) under Trichobilharzia regenti. The record is from RNAcentral. Lineage: Eukaryota; Metazoa; Platyhelminthes; Trematoda; Strigeidida; Schistosomatidae.